UACAGAGGGUGCGAGCGUUAAUCGGAAUUAUUGGGCGUAAAGGGCAUGUAGGUGGUUUUAAAAGUUUGAUGUGAAAGCCCCGGGCUUAACCUGGGAAUGGCGUUGAAUACUAUAAGACUAGAGUCGGACAGAGGGUAGUGGAAUUUCCGGUGUAGCGGUGAAAUGCGUAGAGAUCGGAAAGAACACCAGUGGCGAAGGCGGCUACCUGGGACCAGACUGACACUGAGGUGCGAAAGCGUGGGGAGCAAAC
RNAcentral lists this ribosomal RNA (250 nucleotides) under uncultured bacterium. RNAcentral's name for it is "partial 16S ribosomal RNA". It matches the Rfam family "Bacterial small subunit ribosomal RNA", at positions 524 to 773 of the family's 1533-position model. The record is from RNAcentral.